GACGAGGGAUCCUAGCGUUGUUCGGAAUCAUUGGGCGUAAAGCGGGUGUAGGUGGCUUGGCAAGUCAGGUGUGAAAGCCCAGGGCUUAACCCUGGAAGUGCAUUUGAAACUGCCGAGCUUGAGUGUGGGAGAGGAUAGUGGAAUUCCUGGUGUAGUGGUGAAAUACGUAGAUAUCAGGAGGAACACCGGUGGCGAAGGCGGCUAUCUGGCCCAACACUGACACUCAGACCCGAAAGCGUGGGGAUCAAACAGG
Molecule: ribosomal RNA, 253 nt
Filed under: uncultured bacterium
Lineage: Bacteria
Description: partial 16S ribosomal RNA
Rfam family: Bacterial small subunit ribosomal RNA
Source: RNAcentral